GCAGGGUAUGUUUUGCUGUAAAUGAGAGUUACACUAUUUCGGCAAAAUGUACUCUUGCAA
This 60-nucleotide microRNA precursor is filed under the name Ptychodera flava. Its description in RNAcentral is "Pfl-Mir-4831_pre stem-loop". Lineage: Eukaryota; Metazoa; Hemichordata; Enteropneusta; Ptychoderidae. The record is from RNAcentral.